RNAcentral lists this long non-coding RNA (6490 nucleotides) under Sarcophilus harrisii (Tasmanian devil). RNAcentral's name for it is "lncRNA (ENSSHAG00000026557.1)". The record is from RNAcentral. Lineage: Eukaryota; Metazoa; Chordata; Mammalia; Dasyuromorphia; Dasyuridae.
CCUCCCCCAGAUGGCAGGAUGACCAGUAGAUGUUAAAUACAUUAAAAUAUAAAUUAGAUACACAAUAAGCAGACCGUUAUUUUGCUGAGGUACUGCAUUUCAAAAAUGAAAGUAUUCAUUGUAAAUGCUCCGGAUCAUACAGACUUGGAGCUACUACAAGGGGAUCUUUGAGGUAAGUUAGCUCUACCACUUCAGCACUUUUAUGGAAGCCCUAAAAGGUUAAGGGAUUUUAGCUAAGGAAGUAAAUAGAUUCAAUUCCAAGUACUUUGAUAUCAAACAUAAGUUCUUUCCCGAGCCGCAAGCUGCAGUGGCAUUUUAAUUUUCCUGCACUAAAACGAAAAAGGCUCUUCUCUUGGGGGCAAGCACAAGCAGGAAGAGGCCCGUCAGUAUUCCAAUCUGUAAAACGGGAGUACGGAUAAUCGCAUGGCUCAUCUCACUGAGAGGAAGGCUCUCACACACGCUAAACGGCCAAGGCCAGCGUUUCAGGUUCGCAAGUUCACCAAUCCAGGCGUGGAAAGGUUCUCAGAGGCUGCCUCGCUGCUCUGGCUGUACAGACUGGGGAGCUGAGCCCGGAGCGUGCCCAAGGACAAACCGGGCACUGCCGGCUCAGACUCCAGGCAGUCUCUGCCAUUCCGCAGGCCUCCCCGCUUUCUUCCCCCUUUGAAUCGCGCGCCCCGCGGCGCUCCGCAGCGCCGCUUUCUCGUUUUGGAUGAGAAGCCCGAGCCCAGAGCGGGGAAGGGCCUUCAGGAAGAGACAACUUCGAUACACUGUUCGAAAUGUGACUUGGGAGACUCUAUCGGCAGGUUGCGGCAGCAGGCAGGGCCGGCCCGGCCUCUCACUUCUAACGCCCGGCUCGUUGCCCCCCGCUCGGGAUUUUCGGUGAGGGUGCCAGACCCAUCGCGCCCAAGGACUCCAGACCCGUUCGGGAAGCGCGCCUAUCCCACGGCACUCUCUCGCUGCGCCCCUCCCCCAUUAAAAAAAAAAAAAAAAAAAACAACAAGUCGCCGCACGUGUAUCUGUAUUGUUAGGGUCCCUUAAAGGGCCAGCAGUAGCCUGCCCGCUAGGCGACUCCCGGCCGCCGGCGCCGCGAGCGCACACCCAGGGAGGACGCGCGUCCCCUCCCCCACACCAUGGGGCCCCGCGCCGCGGCGGCGGCGGCCCAUCCAUCCCUCCUUCCCCCGCCGGGCCCGCGGCGCGGACCGCGCAGCGCGGGAGGGGAGAGGGCCCCUCCCCGCCCGGCCCCGGCCCCCGGCGGCGGCCCGGGAGGCGCGCGGGCCGGGCCGGUCGGGCGCGCGCGGCAGGCGGCGGGGAGCCCGAGCCGCCGCGGCGUGCCGAGGCUUCGCGAGCUCUCGUGACGUCAGAGGGCCGCUCGCCAGCAGAACGUUCCAUUGAGGCGAGCGAGCGCGUGCGGCGGCCCGAGCACAUGGGGAAAACGGGCUGGGACGGGCUGCCUGGCAGACCGGGGCCGGGGGGCCGGGCCCCCGGGACUCGCGGACCCCGCUGCGGAAGGGAUUCUAGCCGCUGUGUGACCUGUGGAUCCGGGGUCGGACUCGCCCUCCAAAGUAAACCUUCAGUCCUACUUCUGGACCACCACUGCCAUACUGCUUCCUUUUGGAUAUCCUUCUCAUCACUGAAACCUUGUACCCUGCUGCAGGACACCUGGCUCUGAUAGGUGAGCUUCUGUCUUAUCACAUCCAGAAAUAGGCCUUCCUUCUCUUUCCUGGCCAUCCACAUGCUGUGGCCCUUUGUUUUCCCUACCCUCUUUGACCCAAUCAUUUAACUUCCUUGUUUACUGUAUCUGAAGAAUGGGGGUAAAAGUAUGACUUUAAAGGCAAAGACUCUCCUACUUUACCUGUAUUUUUAUGCCUAGUUCUGAGUAUAGUACCUGGUACUUAGUAAGCAUUUAAUAAAUGCUCUAUAUAUCUAUCUAUUCAUAUAUCUAUCUGUCGUUUUAGCAGAAACUCUCUAGUGGAGUGCCCAAGGAAUCUAUAUUUGGUCCUGUGCCAUUUAUAUUUUUAUUAAUGAUUUGAAUAAAGGUAUAGGUGCUAUGUUAUCAAAUUUGCAAAUGACAUGGUGCUAGAGGGAGUAUACUAGAGGUUCUGGAUGACAGAAUGAAAUUUCAAAAAGAGCUAAUAGGCUAGAGUGGCCAAAUAUAAUAGAGAUAAAUGAAAAUUCACAUAUUUGGGUCCAAAACCUGAACUUCAGAAGUAAAUAAGGCUCAAAGUAUAAACAUAAGGUGAUUCAGCAGUAUUCUAGAGUCAUUACAAGAGAGGAAUUUCUUGUUUGUUCUUUUUGAAACUUCUAUUCCAUCAUCCCUCUUUAUGGUGACCUGAUCAGAUCACAGUUUGACUGUUGUAUUUCAUUCUGGCCAUCACACCAGAACUAGAGUGUCUGGAUUAAGGCAGCCAAGGAAGGUGAAAGAACUUCUGGUACCAUCAUGUGGAGUUUAUUGAGAGGAACCAGGGAUUUUUAAUCUAGAGAAGGAAAUAGUUAUUGAGAUAAAUAAGAUGAGGAAUAUUUUAGCUCUGUUAAGGCCUCUGAAGGAUUGUCAUGUGGAAGAGGGAUUAGAUGAGACCUGCUUUGUCCCCAGACAGCAAAACUAGAAGCCCUAGAUUAGCACUUUGAAAAAGGCAACUUUCCUAGCCAUCAAUGUUAUCCCCAAAUGGAAUGUGCUGACUCACCAGGAAUCUCCCAUCAAUAGCUAGGUGAUCUUGCCCUGUGAGUCUGUUGUGGUGGAGAUUGUUGUUUCAGGUAUGGUUUGAACUAGGUGAGAAAAAAAAGAAUAUUCUUUUACCUCCAGCCAUACACUUUAAUUGGGUUUCUAUUUUCCAACUUCAGUUUAAUGUUUAAAUAAAAUCAAAAAGGUUGGACUUGGGAGGAGAAGGGAAUAUUUCUGUUUUCUGGCUGAAAAUGAAGUAUGAUAAAAAUGUAGCGGUGCCUUAGAGCUAAUUCCUGGGUAAAGGGCUUUGCACAUAGUAGGUUCUUUUGUUUGAAUGGAGCUCACAGGAGUUAACUUUUUUGCUUGAUGGACCCCUUUGUCAGUCUGAUGAAAUCUCAGAAUCAUGUUUGUAAAUGAAUAAAACACAUAGAUUGUAAAGGAAACCAAUGUUAUUGAAACAUGGUUAUGAAAAUGUUUUCUUUUAAAAAAAAUUCACUGACCUUCAGAUAAAAAGAAAGAACCUUGGCCCUCACUGCUUUGAGCUUAAAGAUGUAAGCUUAGAAAAUACAGAGUCCCAUGAUAGGCUGCUUCUGAAAGGUAUCCUGAAAUAAUUGGGGGGGGGGGGGUUGCACAAAUACCUUACAGACAUUUUAGUAGAGGUUAGUGCUAUCUCACAAAUGCAACAAAUGACUUUUUAAGAAAAGAUAAACCUUCCCUCUCUUCUCCCCCUCCCCCCUUUAAAGAUUGCACUCCUGCCUUUGAGAGAAUCUCUGUCUCAGGAAUUUGGAGGUCAUCUGGUCCAUAUGUUCCCCUCUCCUCCCACCUGAAGCAUGGAAGUCUGACAUCCCCAUUCAGCCUCUGCUGGAAUCCUAUCUCUGGAAGCUGCCCAUUCCAUUCCCUAACUGGAAUAACAAAUUACUAAGGAACAAGUUUUUCCUUAAUGAGCUGAAAUCUUUCCUGAGAACCAUUCUUUCUCUUUUUAUUGGAUUGCCUAGAACUCAUGCACUGGUGCCAUUUGUGUUAGGCAAAAGUUGGGAACAGGCUACUCAAGAUUUGUAGAAUAGCUGAAUUAACUGUAUCCUGUAAACAUAACGGAUUAUUAUUGUGCUAUAAGGAAUAAUGGACACUAGGAAUUCAAAGAGAAAAUUAGAAGGCUUGCAUGAUGGGAUGUAUAGUGAAGAAAGAAGAGAUAAAAAAAAAUAGAAAUGCAUGGUGAAUUACAACUGAGCAAAUGCAAACAUUAUAGGGCCUCAAAGAGUAAAACAUAGUCUCCUUUUCUUGAAGAAAGGGCAAAAUUUUAAGAUGUCAAUGGGAAACACUCAUAUGUAGUUUUGUAUUAACUGUUUUCAGGGAGUACAUUCUAUAGUUUGUUUACAUUGUUGGUUAUGUUUGAAACAUAAUUUAUCCUUUAAAAAAAUUAUCAUUUUAUGUGAUGUUCAACUGUGAUGGACUUCUCUGUUUUCAACAAUAAAGUGAUUCAGGUCAAUUCUAGUAGACUUAUAAUGGGGAGAGCCAACUGCAUCCAGAGAGAGGACUAUAGUGACUGAAUGUGGAUCACUGCCUAGUAUUAUCACCUUUUUUUGUUACUGUUGUUUGCUUGCUUGUUUUUUCUUCAUUUUUUUCCCUCUUUUGAUCUGAUUUUUCUUCUGCAGAAUAGUAAAUAUGAAAGUAUGUUUGGAAAAAUUGCCCAUAUCUGGCCUUUAUUGGAUUGCUGCUUUCUCUAGGGGAGAGGAGAGGGAGAACGAGAAAUCUGGAACAAAAAGGUUUUCGGUGGUGAAUAUUGAAAAUUAUCUUUGCAUAUAUUUUGAAAAAUCAAAAGCUCUUAUAAAUAAAAACAUAAUUAAAAGAUUUAAAAUUAUCAUUAAAAAAUCUUAAGAUAUUUCCAUCUAAUUUGCAUUUUUGUCUGACACAGUAAGCAUUCAUUUAAUGCUUACAGCAUACCAGAUAUUAGAGAGAAGGAUACAUAUUCUCAUAAUCUAAUGGGGCAUAUAACAUGCCAGCAGCAAGGUGUGUGUGUGUAAUAUAUGCAAGAUAAAUCAGAAGUAAGCAACUGAGAGAAGGCAUCAGAAUUAGGAUACACUGUAGAUACUCUUAAGUAGACUUCUUAAAUUACAGUGUGGCUUAUCAGAAAGCACACUGCCCUGGUGUUCCCUUCUGACUCUGACGCUCAUUGUCUAAGUUACGAGUUUUUUGUCCGUAAGAUUAUUAAAUUGGAUUGCCUGAUCUCUAAGCUUCCUUCCAGCCCUGAAAAGUCUGUUAUUUAUAAUCUUGGUAAACAUCGAUUUAGGGAUUGGAGGCAGGGGGGAGGAUUCUUUGAAAAAGUGUUGUGAAGGACUGACUUGAAUUAAAUUGCCUGGAGGGCUGUGGGCUGUCUCAUUAAUACCUAGAGUGAAAACAAAAGGACCGUCCUUCCCUAGUUCCUAAACCGACUUCACUGAAUAAUUGCCAGCCUCUGCCAGAUAAACCAGUGUGAAGAAGCCAUGUGUCAGUCUAGGGGGCCCAUGUUUGUUUCCAGCCGCUUGCCCCAGCUGUGAGGGAACAACUGGAAUUGUUUGCAUAGCUCUCUCUCACCUUAGAAAAGGUGUUUCCCACCCUCCUGCCCUACCUCUUUGGGGCAGAUUUCAUGUUUUGGGAAAGGUUUUACUUUCUGGGUUCAGGGGUCUAGGUAGACGAGACUCAGUAAUUGCAUGCUAGGGUUUAUGCCAGUUUAUUCACUCAGCUUUCAUUUGACCAGUACAGAUAUUAAUACUUUCAUUCACCAUUUCACAGGCUCAUGAGAAAAAAGUUCACUAUAAAUCUAUAAUCUAUGAAGUGCUAUACAAAAUAUUUAUACAGUUUUCAUGCUGCACAAGAAAAAUCAGAUCAAUGAUACUUCUUGUUCAGUAAGAUAACUGUAUAUAUAUAUGUAUACAUAUAUUGGAUUUAACAUAUAUUUUAACAUAUUUAACAUGUAUUGGACUACCUGCCAUCUGGGGAGGGGGUGAGGGGAGAAGGAGGGGAAAAAUUUGGAACAAAAAGUUUUACAAGGUCAGUGUUGAAAAAUUACCCAUGCAUAUGUUUUCUAAAUAAAAAGCUUUAAUUAAAAAAAAAAAAAUCAGCUCAAAAAGGAAAAAAAAAAAACUGAGAAAGAAAACAAAAUCUAAGCUCUUUCUGAGAUAUUUCACAUUAUAUCUUUCUAGCUUCUCCCAAGAGUUUGUCUUUGAUAAGAAAACAAUAUGAAUACACUUUCCCACUCAAAAAAUAAAUUUAAGUUACUCAUUCUUCCAUGUUAUUAAAUAUCUGUAUGGACAAGGUUCUAUGGAGGGAAGUGUUUUAGUUGGAUAUGAAGAUUAGAUUUCUUCCUGCCCUUAAAGAAUUUAUUUUUUAAUGGAGAUAUAAUUUGGAUAAACCAAUAAAUAUUAUUAUUAUUAUUAUUAUUAUUACAAAUAAGUAUUAUUUCAUAAGGGCAGCUAGAUAGAUAGAUGAAGUGGAUGGAGACACUUGCUAGCUGUGUGAUCCCAGGCAAAUGACUUAAUCCUGCUUACCUCAGUUUCCUCAUCUGAAAAAUGAGCUGGAGACAGAAAUGCCAAACCACCGCAAUGUCUUUGCCCAGAGAACACAAAGAGUCAGACAGGACCAAACAACAGCAACAACAACAUUAUUGGAUAAACAAAUAAGUAUCAUUUGAAUUGGAAAAGGCUGCAUCCCAGUAGAGGACUAGAAUAUUAUGAUUCAUCUGUUUAGCCAACAUAUAUGAUUUUUUUUUCUUUUUUUUUUUAAUUAAAGCUUUUUAUUUUCAAAACAUAUGCAUGGAUAGUUUUCUAUAUCAACACUUGCAAAACCUUGUGUUCC